Molecule: ribosomal RNA, 257 nt
Filed under: uncultured Glomus
Lineage: Eukaryota; Fungi; Glomeromycota; Glomeromycetes; Glomerales; Glomeraceae
Description: partial 18S ribosomal RNA
Rfam family: Eukaryotic small subunit ribosomal RNA
Source: RNAcentral
AAGCUCGUAGUUGAAUUUCGGGACCAAUAUGUCGGUCGUGCUUUUGUACGUACUGGCAUAAUUGGUUUCUCCCUUCUGAAGAACCUUGAUGUCAUUAAUUUGGUGUCUUGGGGAAUCAGGACUGUUACUUUGAAAAAAUUAGAGUGUUUAAAGCAGGCUCGCGCUUGAAUACAUUAGCAUGGAAUAAUGAAAUAGGACGUUUGAUUCUAUUUUGUUGGUUUCUAGGAUCGACGUAAUGAUUAAUAGGGAUAGUUGGG